UACUAGAGUAGCACUCGCAUAUCAAUAAGCGGAGGAAAAGAAACUAACAAGGAUUCCCUUAGUAACGGCGAGUGAAGCGGGAAGAGCUCAAAUUUGAAAUCUUCAAGGUUUUACCUUGACGAAUUGUAGUUUAAAGAAGUGUUUUCUGUUGAAGUUUUGGUAAAAGUUCUUUGGAAUAGGACAUCAUAGAGGGUGAGAAUCCCGUAUUUGACCAUUAUUUUCAGCUGUGUGAUACACUUUCAAAGAGUCGGAUUGUUUGGGAAUGCAGUCCAAAAUGGGUGGUAAAUUUCAUCUAAAGCUAAAUAUUGGCGAGAGACCGAUAGCGAACAAGUACCGUGAGGGAAAGAUGAAAAGAACUUUGAAAAGAGAGUUAAACAGUACGUGAAAUUGUCAAAAGGGAAGCGUUUGACACCAGUGUUGUUUUCUCGAAAAUCAAUUAAAAAAAGUUGGAUUUUGUGUUGUAUUGACCUUAACAGCUUUCUUCACUCUUUUCCUGCUUUUUUUAAUGCACUUUUCGUUUAACAAGUCAACAUCAGUUUCUUUUGUUGUAAAAAGGUCAUUGGAAGGUGGCUUUCUUUUCGGAGAAAGUGUUUAUAGCCUUUGAUCCCUGCAAUCGGAGAGACUGAGGUCUGCAGCGUAGAUCCUUCGGGGUUAGAUACAUUUGUGCUAAGUUAUAGCUUUUUAUAGGACAACUUGUUGACUAUAUUUAGUCUUGUAGCUUACUCGCUUAUGCUAUUUUACCUACGCUUAGGAUGUUGAUAGUCACAGCGUGUAC
Molecule: ribosomal RNA, 775 nt
Filed under: uncultured Neocallimastigales
Lineage: Eukaryota; Fungi; Neocallimastigomycota; Neocallimastigomycetes; Neocallimastigales
Description: partial large subunit ribosomal RNA
Rfam family: Eukaryotic large subunit ribosomal RNA
Source: RNAcentral